UCUCCGUUGGUGAACCAGCGGAGGGAUCAUUACAGAGUUUUAUAACUCCCAACCCUUUGUGAACUUACCUUUGUUGCCUCGGCGGGUCGGGCUGAUGCUUGGGAUGGCUACUCUGUAGCUACCCUGCAGAGGCCGCCGCCGGUGGGAAUUUAAACUAUUGCCAUGUAUUGUCAUCUGAGAGUCUUAUGAGAAUAAGUCAAAACCUUUAACAACGGAUCUCUUGGUUCUGGCAUCGAUGAAGAACGCCAGC
Molecule: unclassified non-coding RNA, 250 nt
Filed under: uncultured fungus
Lineage: Eukaryota; Fungi
Description: sequence contains ITS1, 5.8S rRNA gene
Source: RNAcentral